Molecule: ribosomal RNA, 419 nt
Filed under: bacterium
Lineage: Bacteria
Description: partial 16S ribosomal RNA
Rfam family: Bacterial small subunit ribosomal RNA
Source: RNAcentral
UGGGGGAUAUUGCACAAUGGGCGAAAGCCUGAUGCAGCGACGCCGCGUGGGGGAUGAAGGCCUUCGGGUUGUAACCUUCUUUUGCUCUGAACAAGGCAUGCUAAUGGGUGUGUUGAGUGUAGGGGUUGAUUAGCGCCGCCUAACUACGUGCCAGCAGCCGCGGUAAUACGUAGGGCGCGAGCGUUGUCCGGAAUUAUUGGGCGUAAAGGGCUUGUAGGUGGCUGGUUGCGUCUGUCGUGAAAGCUCAUGGCUUAACUGUGGGUUUGCGGUGGGUACGGGCUGGCUUGAGUGCAGUAGGGGAGGCUGGAAUUCCUGGUGUAGCGGUGGAAUGCGCAGAUAUCAGGAGGAAUACCGGUGGCGAAGGCGGGUCUCUGGGCUGUUACUGACACUGAGGAGCGAAAGCAUGAGGAGCGAACAGG